Molecule: long non-coding RNA, 1441 nt
Filed under: Astyanax mexicanus (Mexican tetra)
Lineage: Eukaryota; Metazoa; Chordata; Actinopteri; Characiformes; Acestrorhamphidae
Description: lncRNA (ENSAMXG00005003173.1)
Source: RNAcentral
CAGGAUUCCAGAACGAUCAUGUACGUGUUUUUCUCAGACGUCCUGAGAAAAUUACAGGCUGAAUUAUCUACUGUUUUUCUCUGAACUCCGUGCUCCUCCGGUAAUUUUAGUCCUGUCCGAAUGCACAUCUCUGAGUUUCGUCUCCUCGCCUUUAAUAAAAUAGAUAUUUGUCCACUGCCGCGCACAUAACUACAGUUUGGGCACACGUUUCCACGGAGAUCCACGUUAAAAACACAACAGCGACUGGAAAUGGAGGAGCUACUGAACUCUGCGAUGGUGUCAUGUGACCGAGAAAAAAAGCCUAAAAACUUACUGAUUCUCCUGUUUUUUUCAAUUGCAGUCCGGACACAGAAGUUUUAUCACUGAGUAGAAGCAGGAAAUAUUUUUCACAGACGUAUCAUCACCAAUGUUUUAUGAUAAUAUCGUAUUGUGGGAAGCCCUAAAAUUCACACCCCUAAUUAAAACAGCAGUGUAACAUGAGCUGAAGGUAAAACAGCAGCAGAACACACAGAUGAUUUAAGCUGGUUUAUUUGGUAUGUUGCAUAAAACCACAUAUAUAAUAAGACCUGAAUAAAUGGAAGCUUUCCCAAGCAUGAACAUGCAGUGUAUUAUCGCUGUCUCUUAAACCCUAUGGGUCAGUUUCCCAUAAGGAACAGGGAUUAAAUCUAGUUGUAUUUUCCUAUUCAGAAUGCGGUGUAGUUCAAGACCAGGCAUAAUCCCUGUCUGCUGUCCAAGAACUGCAACUUUACAUUUAAGACUUUUUAAUGGAAGUCUGUGUAAAUUGUGAAGCAUUUAAUAUUAUAUGCAACUAUUACAUAAAAAAAAAAACUGUAAAAAUUGAGAUUUAAGGUUUUUGCAUGACAGCAAUGACUUGGCCACCUCGUUUUUUUUUUUUUUUUUUACACACAUUAAUCAUCACAUCUUAUGUCUUACAGACUGUAGUUCUGUAUCUGUUUGUCUGCAUAGUUUAUUAUCCUCCUUCUUUUACCCUGUACUCAAAACCCACACCGCACAGCUAUUAUUAUUAUUAUUAUUAUUUGGGUGGUGGGUGGUUAUUAUUCUCAGCACUGCAGUGAUUAGCACUGAUUAGCAUGGUCGUGGUGGUGGUGUAUGAAGUGUUAGUGUGUUUUGUGCAGAAGGUACAAGUCAAUCAGAUACAGCAGUGCUGCUGGAAUUUUUAAACACCGCAAUGGCUACGUUUACAUGCAGCCUAAUAAUGCUGGAACAGGGUAAAAGAAGGCGUUGUAUAAAUGCUACAGAUAAAGAGUGUAAAAAGUGGAAGACUUCUUUAUUUUAGUAUCGAUCUUAAAGCUGUUUAUCUCCCCUCAGGUUAGUAGAGAACCUCAGACUCCACCUCAGAGGGGCAUUUGGUUACUGCAUGAAGCUGAGCUGAAGUGAAGGUAGUUAUACGAUUCAAAUAAAGAAUGUAUGUAAAUAAGCA